AUUGAACGCUGGCGGCAGGCCUAACACAUGCAAGUCGAGCGGAUGAAGGGAGCUUGCUCCUGGAUUCAGCGGCGGACGGGUGAGUAAUGCCUAGGAAUCUGCCUGGUAGUGGGGGAUAACGUCCGGAAACGGGCGCUAAUACCGCAUACGUCCUGAGGGAGAAAGUGGGGGAUCUUCGGACCUCACGCUAUCAGAUGAGCCUAGGUCGGAUUAGCUAGUUGGUGGGGUAAAGGCCUACCAAGGCGACGAUCCGUAACUGGUCUGAGAGGAUGAUCAGUCACACUGGAACUGGGACGCGGUCCAGACUCCUACGGGAGGCAGCAGUGGGGAAUAUUGGACAAUGGGCGAAAGCCUGAUCCAGCCAUGCCGCGUGUGUGAAGAAGGUCUUCGGAUUGUAAAGCACUUUAAGUUGGGGGGAAGGGCAGUAAGUUAAUACCUUGCUGUUUUGACGUUACCAACAGAAUAAGCACCGGCUAACUUCGUG
This 484-nucleotide ribosomal RNA is filed under the name uncultured bacterium. Its description in RNAcentral is "partial 16S ribosomal RNA". It matches the Rfam family "Bacterial small subunit ribosomal RNA", at positions 30 to 507 of the family's 1533-position model. The record is from RNAcentral.